UACGUAGGGGGCUAGCGUUGUCCGGAAUCAUUGGGCGUAAAGCGCGCGUAGGCGGCCAGAUAAGUCCGGUGUGAAAGUCACAGGCUCAACCUGUGAAUGCCGCUGGAAACUGUCUGGCUAGAGUCCGGAAGGGGCGAGUGGAAUUCCUGGUGUAGCGGUGAAAUGCGCAGAUAUCAGGAGGAACACCGAUGGCGAAGGCAGGUCACUGGGCCGCAACUGACGCUGAGGAGCGAAAGCAUGGGGAGCGAACAGG
Molecule: ribosomal RNA, 253 nt
Filed under: uncultured bacterium
Lineage: Bacteria
Description: partial 16S ribosomal RNA
Rfam family: Bacterial small subunit ribosomal RNA
Source: RNAcentral